This 323-nucleotide ribosomal RNA is filed under the name uncultured eukaryote. RNAcentral describes it as "partial 18S ribosomal RNA". It matches the Rfam family "Eukaryotic small subunit ribosomal RNA", at positions 1470 to 1796 of the family's 1831-position model. The record is from RNAcentral.
CCCUUAGAUGUUCUGGGCGGCCCGCGCACUACACUGGCACUCUCAAUCAGAGCCUGGAUCUAACACUUUGGGGUAUUCUAUGAAGUGGUGUCGUGACUGGGAUUAACCCUUGCAAUUAUUGGUUACGAACGAGGAAUUCCUUGUAAUCGCGGUUUAUCAGCCCGCGUUGAAUGCGUCCCUGCCCUUUGUACACACCGCCCGUCGCUCCUACCGAUUGAGUGGUCCGGUGAGGCUUUGGGAUCUGAGCGGAAAGAGCGUUUCGCUGUUUCUGCUCGGAAAACUCAGUCGAACCUUAUCAUUUAGAGGAAGGAGAAGUCGUAACA